This 780-nucleotide long non-coding RNA is filed under the name Cricetulus griseus (Chinese hamster). RNAcentral describes it as "lncRNA (ENSCGRG00015033483.1)". The record is from RNAcentral. Lineage: Eukaryota; Metazoa; Chordata; Mammalia; Rodentia; Cricetidae.
GUAAAUGGAAUUCUUUCUUGAGGAGCUCUUCAACUUAUUCUUUGCUAGUGUUUACAAAUACAAUGCCUUUUCUCAUACUGAUCUCUUAUCCUGCAAAUUUGUGUUUGCUUUAGUAGGUUUUUUAUUUGGUUGGUGUUUAAAGACAGGCCAUGGUUGGCCUCUGUUGCCAUUUUCAUGAGUUCAGUUGUGCCUUCUUGGAAAAGCUCAUCAGAGCUGUGCUUGUUGACUGUUGAAAGCCAUACAUGUGGCCAGCCACCUCUCCCAACUAGUUGUAUAGGCUCUACCCCAAUUGCAGAUGGCCUCGGAGUUCUUAGGAAGGGCUAGUCUGUACGUUGGAAAAGACUGGGGGCAGAGCUUCAUCUGUGUAUCCACAUGGGAGUCACUAUCCAGAUGCAUUAAAGCUUGUCUGCAGAAGGAUCCGAGUGUCCUGCGUGUAUUUCUUGCCGGCGAGAACAUACAGCGCUCGGGACAUAUGGUGCUCGGGACAGCGCUCCGGCACUGUGGAGACCCCUCUAACGGGGCGGAUUCAGAACUGCAGGAUGGUAAAUUCGGAGAGGGGAGCUAUUGUGUUUUCCCACAGGAUGAAGAAAAUCCUCUGUGGAUCCCAGAAAGACUCACCCGAAGAGCCCCUUCGGACCUUCAAAAGUUGAAACUCCACCCUCUCCCCGGGAGUUGAGAGCCGCUAUUGUUAUCCAGAUUAACUCCUGUCCUUGACAGAGAGAAAGGGGUGGGGAUGGGAUUGUUUGAUACAGCCGUUUGCGGAUUGCUGUUACUUCUGGC